GGCGGCGUGCCUAACACAUGCAAGUCGAGCGAGGAGAUUCCUUCGGGAUGAUCCUAGCGGCGGACGGGUGAGUAACACGUGGGCAACCUGCCUCAUAGAGAGGAAUAGCCUUCCGAAAGGGAGAUUAAUACCUCAUAACAUUGCAGUUUCGCAUGGAACAGCAAUUAAAGGAGUAAUCCGCUAUGAGAUGGGCCCGCGGCGCAUUAGCUAGUUGGUGAGGUAACGGCUCACCAAGGCGACGAUGCGUAGCCGACCUGAGAGGGUGAUCGGCCACAUUGGGACUGAGACACGGCCCAGACUCCUACGGGAGGCAGCAGUGGGGAAUAUUGCACAAUGGGGGAAACCCUGAUGCAAGCAACGCCGCGUGAGUGAUGACGGCCUUCGGGUUGUAAAGCUCUGUCUUCAGGGACGAUAAUGACGGUACCUGAGGAGGAAGCCACGGCUAACUACGUGCCAGCAGCGGC
This 464-nucleotide ribosomal RNA is filed under the name uncultured bacterium. Its description in RNAcentral is "bacterial SSU rRNA". It matches the Rfam family "Bacterial small subunit ribosomal RNA", at positions 38 to 518 of the family's 1533-position model. The record is from RNAcentral.